UAUUCUAUUAUGCCCUACAAACUCUAUGGUUUAUUCUAAUAUAUCCCACUCUUACUAAAUAAUUUCUUUUCAUUUAUUUUAAAAUCGAAAACAUGGCUAAGUACAGAAAAGCCCUUAAUGAAUUUACUUAUCUACAGAUCCAACCUAAACUAACCCACCCGAUCCAUGCCCAAUCGGAUCAAACCCGGAUUUUCCUUAACCCUAGCACGUGUUUCUCUUCCCCAUUCUCAAUCUCUCAAAAAAAAAAAAAAAAAAUCUACCGGGAUUCUCUGUAAGUAGCAUAUUCACUCUGUUUCUCCUCACCUUUCCGUUGUUCCCUUCUCAGUCUCCAGAGUUCGCCGGUGACAGAGUGCUCACCAAGUUCUGGGAACUGACUCACUUCUCUUUCGUCGGUACCGCUGCAGCUUAUGGUUUGUUUAGCCGUAGGAGUGUUGAAUCAUCAGUUAAUUCAAGGAUGAGCUGUGUAGAUGAGUCUUCAUUGUCUUAUGUAUGUAGCUCUGUUUUUGACGAGGAUUCUUGUAAUUUUAGGAGUGAUGAGAGUCAUUUGAUUCAGGUGAAUGCCCGAGCUUCCGUGUAUCUCUAGUGAAUGAGAGAAAAUCUGUCGCUGAAUCAAGUGCAAGCUUGGAACUCAUUUUCAAGGGAGAUCUAAGGUGCGGUUGCUCGACCAGCUUAUGGUAUUGAUGGCCAUGUCGUGCACCAACCAUUACGCUUUUCCGGUUAGGAGUUUAAGGUCCGGUUUGUGAGAUAAGAUAGCUCUUGUGAUGAAGCUGUAAAUGAGAAACCUGGAGAAUCUUCAUCCCUCAUCUUGUCGCUUUUAUGAUUUGCACUUUCAUCCCAAUAGUUGCAAAUCUACAGAAAUUUUGAUUUGAUGCUUGUGUUUUUCUCUUUUGGAGCAAGUUGAGUAGACUUACAUCAUGGUGAAACCAGACGGCAUACAACGAGGUCUUGUUGGAGAAAUCAUCUCUCGUUUUAAGAAGAAGAGCUUUAAACUUAUUGGACUUGAGAUGUUUCAGUGUCUAAAAGAAUUGGCUGAGGAAUUUUUGCUUGCUUGAUGGGUAUAUGAACAUUACUUACGCAGACAGAGCAGUAUGUGAACGGACAACUUAAAAUUAAUAUUGAUGUUAUAUCAAUUAGAUACAGUAUGAUGUUUUGUAUAAAAUUAUGUUCUUGAGAAAAUUUAUGAAUGAUUUUAUUUUGUUGUGAUG
Molecule: long non-coding RNA, 1205 nt
Organism: Brassica napus (rape)
Lineage: Eukaryota; Viridiplantae; Streptophyta; Magnoliopsida; Brassicales; Brassicaceae
Exons: 3
Source: RefSeq, a predicted model, not a curated record